CUAAGACCGAAUCACAGCCAUGCUGAUGUUCAGCACUCCCCCGUGUGAUAUUACUUAACUGACAUACGUUCCUCACAUUAUCUAGCUACAUUAGGGAGGACUAUAAAUAAAAAGUCAAAGAUGGUCCAAAUCUUUGAGUCAACUAACAAAACCAUGAAUGAAGAUGGAAUGGAUGACACAUAUCCUGGCAUGGAUCAUAUAUCAAACGCAGAAUUGAAAGCUGCUAAUAUCAGUGCAGACAUGCUUCCCAGUCUCAAUAAGGAGGAUUUACGUGAUCUCUUUCCCGGACCAGAGCACUUCUUCAGAAGGAGAACCAUUUGGCGACUUAAUCAUGGUGAAAAUUAGGGUUAAGAAUCAGACCUGUGUAGACCAGUCACCUCCUCUGGGACCUAUGAUUUCAGCCCCACUCCCACCCCCUUUCCCUCCUCCUCCUCCACCCCCUUCCACUCUCUACUGCCCCCCCAUCCCCCCACCCCUCUCCAAACCCAAGAGACCAACAUGGUGCCACCAGAACUGUACAGCUUGUCAGCCCACAGUAUGUCAUAUACACAGACACAGAGUUGGAGCAAUCAAGAAUAACCUUUUUUGAAAAACAGCGUGCUGGACAAGGAGACUAUAUCCUUUCCAAAGAUCUUCGCUGUUGAUUAAUCAGGAAUACAGUAACAAGCAUGAUUUCCAUUGAGAGAGCGGCAGGGGAUGACUUCCAGUAUCCAUGCAGCCGUGAACUCAUUGUAAUGGUGAAGCGUCUCAUAGACUACUACCCAAUGCUGCGGGACAGAUCUGCAACCAGUGGAGCUGAGUGGGUCACUUCUCAGUAUUGGGUAGUAGUCACUUCUCAGGUAUUCAACACAUGUUUCCAAACACAGCACUGUUGGAUACCUGGCAACCAAAGUGCAAACAUCUGACACUCAAAAUAGCAGGGAUGUGCUUCAUCCAGAUCAAUCAGGGAAACAUGUGUCUGCUUGUAUCGUUUCAUUUCUGUGGAAUAUGUUUAUGAUGUACAGGAUCAGGGCAGCAAAUACAUACUCCUCUGGAUCCAGGGCAUACUUCUGCCUGCCCAUUACCAGCUGGCAGUCAAUCACCAGGAGGGAAAAGGUGAUGGAGGAAAGAAAGGGUUUAGGGUGCAAUAGAUGGAGGUAUUCAUUCUGGCUACAAGGCUGCAUAAACAGAAAGAACCUAAUAAAAGGAGAUAUAACAUUGAGUGAGUUCUAUAUCAGUGAGAAGGGCAGGGCUCCCAGAGAUCCAUAGACUAUCUGCAGCACAUUGGAGUAGUAGAAACAGCAGAAGAAGCUGAACAUGAGAAGGUCCACUGCCCCAGCACCAGCAGGAUGCCAUUACAACGCGUGAAGUCCACGCUUUGUAAUGUCUGCAGACCAAAGAGAGGAGUGAGUAACUUUUAUUUCUGAAUUCCAAAGCGACCCUGGGCAAUAUGGUAUUUGUUGUCCAAUAAGCUAGGUCACCGGGGGGUCAGCCUGACCACAAACUGAUGUGGUAUGGUCGAUUUGGAAUUAAGCAUAAUAUCAUGUUUUUAGUGAUUUGAAAAAAACAGUCUGACCUGGGCUGAGAAGAUGAUGAUGGUGAAGGAGAUGACCACUGUUGCUCCCAUGGCGAUGACUACAGCAGUGGUGUCGGGGAAUGAGGCCACAGUGCUGACCAUGUAGGAAAGGCUGAGAGCGACCACUGACUAGAGGCAGUAUGCACACCAUAACACUUAAAAUACCACUCACUCAAUCCCAAAUCUCACUUUAUCCUAUCAUUGUGUUCAAGUAGUGAUAGAAUCAAAGCAAGAUCAAAGACGGUUGUUCUCAUUAGUCAUGCAACUAAGUUCUAGGAGAAUGUAUUUGGCAUUAGCCAAUAGGGAACUGUGAAUACAGUAAGGUACACUUAUAAGCAUCACCGGUAACUUCACUUUUUAAAUAAUGUGUAUGAACACAUCUAAAAAAAAACUAUUGUAUAGUUUAUAUCUAUAAGUGAACAGAUAAACCUAGAGCUCAAUUAAGUCUAACCCACACUUCAGUAUUACUUAGUGACUUUGCAUGGGCCAGUUUGUCAGUCGCUGGUCUAGCUAGUUGUGAUGGGGUUGUGUUUAUGUGUUUGUGCGUGCGUGUGACCCACCAGGUUCCAGGGAUGGCUACUGCUAAAUGAGCUGCAGCAGAUGAGGCAGAUGGCCACUGAAGUAAACAGGAUGGAGGAGCUGAGGUUUUUGUCCUGCUGAAAGGUGAAUUCAUCUCCCAGUGUCUGGUGAAAAGGAGACUGAACCAGGCUUUUCUCAAGGAUUUUGCCUGUGUUUAGAUGCAUUUCGUUUAUUUCCCUAGUCCUUAACGAUUGCAAGAAUACCCAUAUAACAUGAUGCAGCCACCAAAAAGUGAAUUAUUUUGCUAUUUUUUUUGUUGAAAACAGGAUGCAUGUUUUGGAGUAUUUUUAUUCUGUACAGGCUUCCUUUUCACUCACUGGAGUAACUACAAUAUUGAUGAUCCAUCCUCUGUUAUCUCCUAUUACAGCCAUUAAACUCUAACUGUUUUAAAGUCACCAUAGGCCUCAUGGUUAAAUCCCUGAGCGGUUUCCUUCCUCUCCGGCAACUGAGUUAGGAAGGACACCUGUAUCUUUAGUGACUGGGUGUAUUGAUGCUUUUUUUUUUUUUUUUAACUCAUCUACCAAUAGGUCUUUGAGGUUGAAUCUGUGUUUGGAACAAUACAGAUAAUUGUAUUUGUGGGGUAUAGAGAUGAGGUAAUCAUUCAAAAAUACUUGUAAAGGAGAGCCACAGUCGGUGCAAUGUGUGCAACAAAACAUUUUGCUCAAAACAUUGUUUUACCCUUUUUGUGUGUGCUUUACUGUUUUAUACUUGGGAUAUCGCUUCUCACCAAGAAAAGUUCUUUUUUUUUGAAUCCCCAGAAGACGUCUUUAAAGGAUUGAGUAACCAGUACCAUAUUUUUUAAAUCCAAUGAACGCAGGAAGGAAUAUAACAUUUCACAUGGUUGAAAAAAAAUAGAUAUGCUAGUUUUCUAUGUAGGCUAGUCAUUUACAGUAGAUAACUGUGAAUCUGUCACAGCAGUCAGCAUUGCCUAUUUGGCAAAGACCAUUACCAAACAUGCCAUAAAAUAGUUAUUAACAGUGCUCAAACACCUAAACAAGGACAUUGACAAAACAGGGCACAAAAGUAUAUUUAUUGUAAAAAAUACAUAUAAAACCAACUUUGAGACAUACAAAAGAUUGGAGCUUAGAAACAGUAAAAUGAACAGACAAAGACCAAGCCAGUUUGAAUUGCAAUACAUAUUUACACUUUAAUAAAUAAAUGUAAUUGUUCUAUUAUACCAAAAAGAAGGCAAAUUGUCCAUAUCUUGGGAUGCAGAUAUCACUGUGGUGACCUUAAACAUUCUCAUUGAAUAUAUCAGCAUAACCGUCACAAAGCUCAGGGUCUAGGAGGCACAGAACCCUGUGAUUAAACGCCAAGAAUGCAAUACAUAGAAAAUAUCAUCCUUGGAGAAUAGCUAUGCAGCCAAGUAAUGGCAUUUGUAAAAAUUGAGGUAUUGCACCACGCAGAUAAAAAGGGAGAGUAGUAAAGUAACAUUUGGGGCUUCAGAUUUUUA
RNAcentral lists this long non-coding RNA (3587 nucleotides) under Salmo salar (Atlantic salmon). RNAcentral describes it as "lncRNA (ENSSSAG00000089210.1)". The record is from RNAcentral. Lineage: Eukaryota; Metazoa; Chordata; Actinopteri; Salmoniformes; Salmonidae.